Small nucleolar RNA from Peromyscus maniculatus bairdii (prairie deer mouse), 70 nucleotides. NCBI's taxonomy places the organism in Eukaryota, Metazoa, Chordata, Mammalia, Rodentia, Cricetidae. The record is from Ensembl.
UGGGAAGUGAUGAUGCCUGUGACUGCUGACAAGACACUGAUUUCUGUCGUAUUCGUACUGGCUGAUCCCA